This 253-nucleotide ribosomal RNA is filed under the name uncultured bacterium. RNAcentral's name for it is "partial 16S ribosomal RNA". It matches the Rfam family "Bacterial small subunit ribosomal RNA", at positions 524 to 776 of the family's 1533-position model. The record is from RNAcentral.
UACGUAGGGGGCAAGCGUUGUCCGGAUUCAUUGGGCGUAAAGAGCGUGUAGGCGGCCAGGUAGGUCGGUUGUGAAAACUGGAGGCUCAACCUUCAGAGGUCGACCGAAACCAUCUGGCUAGAGUCCGGGAGAGGAGAGUGGAAUUCCUGGUGUAGCGGUGAAAUGCGUAGAUAUCAGGAGGAACACCGGUGGCGAAGGCGGCUCUCUGGACCACAACUGACGCUGAGGCGCGAAAGCUAGGGGAGCAAACAGG